GGAUUAGAAACCCGGGUAGUCCACGCCCUAAACGAUGUCAACUGGUUGUUGGGGAUUCAUUUCCUUGGUAACGAAGCUAACGCGUGAAGUUGACCGCCUGGGGAGUACGGUCGCAAGAUUAAAACUCAAAGGAAUUGACGGGGACCCGCACAAGCGGUGGAUGAUGUGGAUUAAUUCGAUGCAACGCGAAAAACCUUACCUACCCUUGACAUGUACGGAAUCCUGCUGAGAGGCGGGAGUGCCCGAAAGGGAGCCGUAACACAGGUGCUGCAUGGCUGUCGUCAGCUCGUGUCGUGAGAUGUUGGGUUAAGUCCCGCAACGAGCGCAACCCUUGUCCCUAGUUGCUACGCAAGAGCACUCCAGGGAGACUGCCGGUGACAAACCGGAGGAAGGU
RNAcentral lists this ribosomal RNA (394 nucleotides) under uncultured bacterium. RNAcentral's name for it is "bacterial SSU rRNA". It matches the Rfam family "Bacterial small subunit ribosomal RNA", at positions 775 to 1174 of the family's 1533-position model. The record is from RNAcentral.